RNA transcript from Aedes aegypti (yellow fever mosquito), 1547 nucleotides. It is a transcript of the gene named putative odorant receptor 83c, with no coding region annotated. The record is from RefSeq and is marked validated. The transcript is spliced from 4 exons. NCBI's taxonomy places the organism in Eukaryota, Metazoa, Arthropoda, Insecta, Diptera, Culicidae.
CGGGCAAAUACAUGAAGUUUCCAAAAUCUGCGAACGUGCCACGUGGCACUUCUUCAUUCGAGAGUUUUCAAAGAAUUCUCUAUUGGCAGCAUAUUACUCUAAAGAUGAUUGGCUGUGAUAUUUUUGAAAUUAACUUUCGUGUUUCUUUCCUCACUGUAUUCAUCAUAUUUUUGGCUGUGCUAUUUAUGGUGAUAUCUCUUAUCAAUCUGUACUUUUUCCGUGAUAACAUAUUCAACUUCACUUUUGUGCUUGUAACAUUUUUCUACGGAGUAAUUGGCUGCGGGAGACUUGGAUUUCUACUUACGCAUUCAAAAGUUUCUUCUAAGUUGGUGUUCGAAGCUAAGAAAACUUAUGAGCUGACAUCUAGUGGCGCCAGUGAAACAAAGGUUCUCGUCAAAUACACCAAAAUGUUGCAGCAGUGCGUUGUGUUUUUCAGCAUUGCUUUUAUGUUGGGAGUGGUACUCACUGCAAUAAUGCCUUUGAUUUUAUUUUUAUGGAAUGGUGAAAAAAUUCUUCCGUUCGGAGUGAUAUUGCCGUUUACCGAUCCCAACUCGGUGGAUGGUUACCAGUUGAACUACCUGUAUCAGAUAAGUUGCAUGCUGUGGACACCACCUGGCUUAACAGCAUCUCAAAAUAUGUAUUUCGCUUUAGUAUUCAACAUCUGCAUUCAGUACGAUUUGCUCAUUUUGAAAUUACAAGCACUCGAUGAGUUAAUUUGUCAGAACAAAGGCGAAAUUCAUGAUAUAAAAAUUCGAAGCAAAAUAAUCGACAUCAUUGAAAGCCAACAGCGACUGGACAAUUUUGUAACUACCCUUGAAGAAUUAUACGCAACACAAGUUUUUAUUGAAGUUGGCAGCAACGCAUUGCAAAUUGUGAUGACGCUUUUCGUGCAACACAUUGAUAUGUGGAUGCCAGGAUACCUAAUAUUGUUGAUUGCAACUUUUCAACUAUUUGUAUCGUGCUUUCUGGGGACGCUCAUCGAUAUCAAAAGCGAACUUUUUACGAAGGCAGUCUACGACAUAUCAUGGCAUAAAAUGGGAAAGGAGAAUCAAAAAACCCUCAAAUUUAUGUUAGCCAAGUCACAGUGUUCGCUGCAGCUUUCAUGUGGAGGAAUGAUGACGCUUAAUAUGAAUCUGUUUCUAACUGUUUACAAGAAAAUCUACUCGAUCUUCAUGAUGUUGCAGAACAUAUAAUUCAAAGGUCAACGCUUCUAACUGCAGUAUUAAACACAGGAUGUAAUACUCAUCAUCACAUUUGUUAUAUUGAGAGGAUAUCUCAUGUCAAAUCACCCGGUCGUCGUUGUCGUCGUCGUCUGUCUGAUGGCAAAGCGCACUUUUGAAGAGCUCCAACCAAUCUGCAGUUCGGUUCUGUUCAAGUGAACAAAUAUGCGUCGGCGGGACAGCAAAUCAUUUUCUUUUGUUUCGGUUGACCAGCAGACUAGAGAAAUAAAAUUAAUGUCCAUUUGGACGCCGGAAUGGGGUGUGUGAUUUGCACUCACAGAUUGACAGUCAUUUUUGACGGAGUGGUUCAACGGUUUCGAAACUUGU